UACGAGUGCUCCAAGCGUUAUCCGGAAUCAUUGGGCGUAAAGGGUGUGUAGGUGGUUGUGUUAGUCUUCUGUUAAAUUCUACGGCUUAACCGGGGGCAUGCAGGGGAAACGGCACGACUAGAGGAUGCGAGAGGUGAAUGGAACUCAUGGAGUAGGGGUGAAAUCCGUUGAUAUCAUGGGGAACACCAAAUGCGGAGGCAAUUCACUGGCGCACUUCCUGACACUGAGACACGAAAGCGUAGGUAGCGAAUGGG
Molecule: ribosomal RNA, 254 nt
Filed under: uncultured bacterium
Lineage: Bacteria
Description: partial 16S ribosomal RNA
Rfam family: Bacterial small subunit ribosomal RNA
Source: RNAcentral